RNAcentral lists this ribosomal RNA (253 nucleotides) under uncultured bacterium. Its description in RNAcentral is "partial 16S ribosomal RNA". It matches the Rfam family "Bacterial small subunit ribosomal RNA", at positions 524 to 776 of the family's 1533-position model. The record is from RNAcentral.
UACGUAGGGCGCAAGCGUUGUCCGGAAUUAUUGGGCGUAAAGAGUUCGUAGGCGGCGCAGAAAGUGGGGUGUGAAAGCCCUCGGCUCAACCGAGGAAUUGCGCUCCAAACUACUGUGCUCGAGGGACCUAGAGGUGAGCAGAACUGAUGGUGGAGCGGUGAAAUGCGUUGAUAUCAUCAGGAAUACCGGAGGCGAAGGCGGCUCACUGGGGGUCCUCUGACGCUGAGGAACGAAAGCCAGGGGAGCGAACGGG